GCAGUUAAGCUCGAUCUUCAUCCUUAUCCUUAUCCUUAUUCUAAAAGCAGUUAGAUGUACUUCUUUAGAGGAGGGAAUAAGACAGCCAGAUGCCUAGGCAGAUAAAAAAGGGUCCCUUGAGAAUGUUCGCCUCGCCCCAUAAGUGUUUAUAUCAUAUGCUUUUUUGCACAUGAGGGAACCUGUCCAGGGCUUGUCUGGGCAUGCCCACAAAGGACUGGAGCCCAACAUACGCACUGGGGGAAGUGGAUGGAGCCCCAGGGAAUUUGUGUCUCACAGGGGAGGAGCCUGCUCUCUUCAGCUUGUGUGGUGACUGAUCUCAGAAUCAAUCUGUGGGGUGGGGGGCCUAUUAACAGCACUCCAUCUUGUUUUGCUGAGGUUUCUUUUUUCCAAUAAAAUCCUGCUCUACUCACCCUUCAAUGUGUCUGCAUGCCCAAAUUUUCCUGGUUGUGUGACAAGAUCCCAAUUUUAGCUGAAGGAGCAAAAUUCUGCAACAUUGUGAAGGGGGGUUUCCAGAAAAAUGCCACACAGAACUGUCAGGUCAAAUAACAAUUCUCAGCAGAUGGUGUUUUGAGGGAGCUUCAGAGCCCCUUCUACACCCUCCAGUGGCUGCUGGUUUUCCCUGGGAUUGUGGCACUGUUGGUUGUCAAGGCUAACACAAAGUUUGGGAGAUGAGAUGAAAUUAGGGUUAGUGGAAAUGCUACAAAGCAGGCUGUUCUUGCUGAGAUUCAGGUGGUUUUCUUGAGUAAAACUUCCCACAUUGCCUUUGGUUAAUUUCCUGAAUUCUGGAGUUCAUUUUGACAUAUUUGUUGUUCUCAUUGUUCUUAAAGAGUGGCUUUUCAUAGGUUCUUUCUCUACCAUUCCCAUUGGUAUCUUAAAGACAAUCCUUGGCGUCACCCCAUUUCACUCUUACGGUUCAGCUCAAUAUGCAGACAUAGCUCUACAGAACCACACUGCCAUUGUUUAACUGCUCACAAAAUUUCGUUAUCAUCUAAUACUCAAUUUAUAAUUAAAUAACAUCUAUUACCUCAGAAAUGCCUCUUUAUACGAUAUUAUUUGUUAUUUUCUCUUCUUUCAGUGAGCUAUGGGAGGUUAAUUCUUUGUAUUGGCUAUAUAAUUAGGGGAGAUGCAGGUAGGGCACCCCGCAAGGGUCUAGCGCUAGUUAAGUGGAUUCUGGCUUUAAACAAGAGGUGUAAAGGGGGCCCUUAGAGUUUUCUUUAACAUCUUCAAGCCAGUCCUCCAGGGAC
RNAcentral lists this long non-coding RNA (1244 nucleotides) under Homo sapiens (human). RNAcentral's name for it is "HSALNT0201462". The record is from RNAcentral. Lineage: Eukaryota; Metazoa; Chordata; Mammalia; Primates; Hominidae.